RNAcentral lists this long non-coding RNA (5659 nucleotides) under Dasypus novemcinctus (nine-banded armadillo). Its description in RNAcentral is "lncRNA (ENSDNOG00000052582.1)". Lineage: Eukaryota; Metazoa; Chordata; Mammalia; Cingulata; Dasypodidae. The record is from RNAcentral.
GAGGCACGACGGGAGCCGCGAGUCCGCGGGCCCGGGCCUGGCCUCAGUGGGGUGGGCGCGGUGGCCGUCGGUGGGCGCCGAUCCCGGAGGGGAGGGAGGGGCGCGGUGCGUGCGUGCGAGGCGUGCGCGAGGGAGUGUACGGGCCGUGGGCACUGUGAGAAGCUGAGGGGUGCGAGGGGGUGCGUGCAGGGUGAGGCCCGCGGCGCUGUGGGGGGCCUGCCGUGCGUCACUCUGACCACGUAGCUGUUGUGUGACCCGGGGCCCGUUGCCGUAUGUGGUAAUCGUGCAGUGAGUGACUGUCAUCGUGUGUGAUGGUUUCUUUGAGACAGAGAGAGAUAUGGAGGACACGGGGACAUUUGACAGAGCGUGGAGGUCCCGACCGGUCAAAGAAGGUGACUAUAGGGAAUCCAAGAACCUGCAAUAAUCACAGGGAUAAUGAUGGAGACUGUCAGAGACAAGGUCUUAUGGGCUCCACCUUCAUAGACAUUGGCACAUCCAAGGACUGCUCAAGGAACUGGAAUGGAAAUUCUGCUGAGGAGGGGAAGAACAAUUACUUUUCCAGGAAGGAGAUCCUAAGUAAUGGUCAGCCACCAACACAGUGGGGGAGAGGCUGUAGAAGCAGUGAAGUUGUGAGAAGUAUCAGGACACUGUCCAGCCCCACCAAACGAGAGAAUGUUCCCAUGGAAGAGAAACCACAUGCGUUAGUUGCCCAUGGAGGUGUCAUUGAGCAGGUUCUGGAGCCAGCUGAGUUGCAGGCACCGUGUUUGAGCAGGAUAUUCUGCACAUGCAGCAUCUGUGGGAAGAGCUUCAGGCAGUGCUUGGCCCUCAUUGUGCACAAGAGGACUCACAGCAGGGAGAAGCCCUAUCCAUACAACGUGUGGGAAAGUCUUCCAAUGCCAGUCCAACCACAAGGAGCACCGGAGGAUCCAUACUGGAGUCAAACUCUAUGAAUACAUUGGAUGUGGAAAAGUCUUCAUUCAGAACUCCACUCUCAUGCUGCACCAGAGGACCCACACUGGAGAGAAGCAUACAAAUGCAGGGAGUGGAGCAAGACCUUCUGGGGGUGCUCGGACCUGCAGAAACACCAGCAGGUUUACACUGGGGAGAAGUCCUACCAGUGUCGGGAGUAUGGAAAAACCUUCAGGUGGAGCUCACCCCGAUCUGCCACUGGAGAAUGCUCAGUGAUGAGAAGCCGUAUCAGUGCGAGUGCGGCAAGGCCUUUGGGCAGAAUUCUGCACUCGUUGAGCAUCUCAAGGUCCAGCCCUGUGAGUGCUAAGGCCUUUAAGGGCAGCUCAGACCUCACCCAGCACCUGCGGUCUACACAGGUGAGAGGCCCUGUGUGUAUGGUGAAUGUGGGCACGCCUUCACGUGGAAGAUGGUGCUCAUCACCCACCUCAGGAUGCACAGUGGGGAGAGGCCAUAUGUAUGUGGCCAGUGCGGGAAGGCCUUCAUCCAGAGCUCGCAGCUGAGCUGGCACCAACAAAGCCACAUGGGCAAGAAGCCCUGUGUGUGUCCGACGUGUGGCAAGGCCUUCAGCAUGAACACCCACCUUGUUGAGCACCAGCCUAUCCACACAGGCAAGAAGCCCUGUGUGUGCAGUGAGUGUGGUAAGGCCUUCUGCUGGAGCUUGUGCCUCCUCCAGCACCAGAAGCUCCAUGCUAGGGAAUAGCCAGGGCACCAUGUCCCAUGUCACCUCUCACACUCCCUUUUUCUUGCCACCUCAUUGGCUUUCCCUGCUUCCCCCUUCUUUGCCUGGGUUCAGGUUCUCCCUGGUCCACUUUCCAUUUUCUUUUCUGUUUUGUUUUUUUUGUAGCAGCUUUUUUAAGAUAUACUUCACAUACCAUAAAGUUCAGUCUAGUAAAGUGUACAAUUAAAUGGUUGUUAAUAUAUUCAUAGUUGUGCAACUCACCACUAAUUCCUGAAUAUUUUAAUUACCCCUUAAAGAAACCCCUUACCCAUUAGCAAUCACUCUCCAUUUCUCUCCUAUCCCCCAGCCUUGGCACCCACUGAUCGCUAUGGAUCUACCUGUUCUGGUCAUUUCAUAUCAAUGGAGUCACACAGCGUGGUCCUGUAUGCCCAGCUUGCUUCACUCAGCAUGACGUCUUCGGGGCCACCCAUGCUGUAGUGUGACUCAGCAUGAUGUCUUCGGGGCUACUUGUGCAGUAGCGUGAUUCAGCAUGACGUCUGCGGAGCCACCCAUGCUGUAGCGUGCACCAGUACGCCAUUCCUUUGGGGGCCGAAUACUAUUCCCUUGUAUGGAUGCACUACAUUGUGUUUACCCGUUCACCCACUGUUGGACAUUUGGACUUUUUCCACCACUUGGCUAUUCUGUGCACAUCUUUUCCCCAUUAUGAGUGGUUGGGAGGAGCUGGAUGGAGAAAACACGGGGCCAGGAGAAGGGAGAUAAGCCUGGAGAUGCCCUAGGACUGAGGGGCUUGUUGCAAGGGCAGGGCAGCAGCUGUGCUUGGGGCUGGGGGUAGAGCCAGGGCCAGCGACAGGGCCAGGCCACCCUCCUGUUGUCCGUUCCUUCUGUGGCUCAUGGGGCGCUCUUGAGCUGCCCUGCAGAAGGCCCUGACUGGUGCAGCUAAAAUCAGGUACCCUAGCCCCUGGCUUUGCCAGGGUGAGACUUACAGGAAGGCGGUUGUACCUAAUCAAGCCAGGGAACCUAAGCAUAGCCCCUCCUUCCUGACCACCACGAGGCUCAGUGUAACGCCCUCUGAGCCUCAGAGACCCUGGUACUUCAGGGAAGACCCUCCCGCUUCUCUUUGGAGUCCGGGCUCUGGUCCUCCACUCUGGUUAAGAGAGGGGUGCUGGAGUUGGCCAGGCUUGGAUUCAGAUCCAGCCUCCAUCACUGACCGGCGGGGUGGCUGUGAGUCUCUGCCCCUGCCUGUGCUCAGCUGAUGCUUGAUGCAUGAUGCAGCAAGCAGAGCCCUUGACAAGUGUCAGCUGUGUCAGCGAUGCAGUGAUGCAGCCGUCAUGGUCUCCAGAAAUGGGCUGCUUGUGCGCAUUGUCCAGGCCUCUUCCAGCUUCCAUCUCCUCAAUGGGAAAAUGGCCUGCAACAGCAGCCAGGCCCCACAAACACCCAACGGGUAACAGAGACCCCCAGGAACCCUGCUGGUGGCUUCACACUCGUGUCUUCCCAGUGAACCCUGCAGGAGGGGCACCGCUUCCAUUUUCAGAUGGGGAAAUUGAGGCCUGAGGUGGGCUCCUCCAUCUGACUCUAUGUAUGGGGUCCCUCUGACCCCUCUCCAUCUCCUGGGCCACCUCCUUAGUUCAGGGGUUGUGUGGCCACAAGGUGCUUGAACCCACCCACCCACUCACCCUGUGUGUCCAGCCUCCAGGCUGCUCCCAGUAACAGGUCUGAGGCUCCUGUAAGGGGGCAGCUGUGGCAGGGAGAGGCUCAAGAAGAAGGGGCCCUCGCCCCUCCAGAAAUUGACAGGGAAUCUUGAAAGACCUGUGUUAUUUAUAGUAACACAGAGGCCGCAGAUUCAUGGGACAGGACACAGCUGGGCCAACCGAUGGGCAGGAAUCAGGCUGGAUGCUGCCAUGUGAGUGCAAGUGUGUGAGUAUAUGGCAGUGAGGAUGUUUGUGGGAGUGAAAAUGUAUGAGUGUGCUAGACAAGUGUGUCAGCGUAUCACUGUGUGUGUGGAUGUGCCCCUCAGCGUAUACCUGUGUGUGUGCAUGCAGCUGUGCACUCCUAGGUCACCAGGCCACUAGGAACCCCGCCCUGGUGGUGACGGCGCAGGCACUGCUUCCCUUCCAGGACCAUCUGUCCAGGCCAGCACCCAGGAGUAUCCAUGGCUCUCAGUCCAACCUCUGCCUCCUGUAGCUGGUGCCCAAAGCUCCCCUGUCCAUGAUACAGGGCCCAGGCAGCCCCUUGCCCACCAGUGUUUGUCCCAGACACAACAGAUGGAGGAUAAAUAGCAACAAGGAAGAGAACUGAAAGCCCUCAUGGCCACAUGGGAAAAGGAAUCAUUCCUGGGGUAACGUCCAGGCAAAACCCUGCUCCACCUGGCGCUUCGACAGCCUCUCGCUGACACUCAGCUGUCAGAAAAGCUUGGUCUUCCCCUUCCAGAAGGCCAUGCCCCUACACCUGUCCCCUCUCCCUGAUGGCCAGCUGAGCUCCUGCAAAGCCACCCGCUGUCGCAGCUGGCUGCACUUCCUUCCCAUCCCUCACUUACAGCCGUCCGUGGCGUCACCUGCCUCCCUCCUGUUGGCCAGAAGGCGACUGUCUGUGCUUCCUCUGCCAGUCACCCUGUUGGCUCACAGGCAGGAGCCCUCAUCACUGUCCCCUUUGUACAGGAAAGUGAGAUGCAGAGGGGUGAAAGCCAGGGCUCCUUCAGCUGGUGCCAGAAACCUGUGGAGCUGGUUCUCCCUGCUGCUGCUGCCUGACUGUCCCUUGGGAGAGAAGUAAACUAGUGUCCAUUCUCCAGUCUCCACACCUGGCUGUCAGGUCACUGUCCCCAUUUUUACAAAGGCUCGGGGGCCCAUGGAGAGCCACUUCUGGACCAUGGCAGAGCUGAAAGCGUGCCCAGCGCUGCCCAUUUCUCCCUGCCUCUAGGUCUGGUCGUGAGGGCUCUCAGGACUGGCACCACCCAGCACCCUCCUCAACACAUGCCCCCUUGUGACGGCCUUGUCCCUGCAAAGCUAAGUUUGCCUCUUGCUGCUGUGAACCUCCAGCUUUCCCAACUACCACUGUCUCCAUGAGGCCGGCACACUUCUAGGCUGCUGCAGCGGUGGCUACUGCCCUCAGCUGGGUGGUGAGGCCUCCCCAGGCCACAGCUGUGUUGGCUGUUAGGCAGUAAAAGGUUAACUCAGCAAGCUUGGGUUGUCCAAACCUUGUACAUUCCAAAGAUAGCACCAGCUCUUUUUAAAUUUUUAAAGAAACUUUAGAUUGCAUAAAUGUUACAUAAAAAAUAUAGGAGAUGGGGAGCAGAUGUUUAGUGGUUGAGCACCUACUUCCCAACUAUGAGGUCCUGGGUUCAAUUCCCCCCCCCCAAAAAAAUAAAAAUGUAUAUAUAUAAAUAUAUGGGAUUCCCAUGUACUCCACCCCUCCCCUUCCCACACUUUGCCCUCAUUACCAACAUCUUUCAUUAGUGUGGUACAUUUGUUGCAAUUGAUGAACACAUAUUGAAGUUUUGCUACUAAUCAUGAUCUAUAAUUUGCAUCAUAGUUUACACUUAGCACUGCACAAUUUCAUAGAUUUUGACAAAAUGUAUAAUGGCCUGUAUCUGUCAUUGCAAUGUCAUGCAGGACAAUUCCAAUGUCCCCAAAAUGCCCCAUGUUAUACCUAUUCUUUCCACUCCCUCUCCUCAGAACCAUUGGUGACCACUGCCUUUAUAUCAAUGAUACAAGUUCUUCUAUGGCUAGAAUGAUAAUAAGUCUACUUUAGCUCAUAGUUGCAUUCCCUCCUUAAGUUUAUGCAUUCCUCAAUAUUGAGGAUUUGGGGAUGGUGAUGCCCACUCUGUUUCUGAUUGAGAGGGGGCUUAGACCCUGUGGGACAGAUGGAUGGAACUGUCUUGCUUGCAGUUGUGGAUACUCUCUGUUUUUUGGGAUGGGCAUUGUCCAUCAUCAUCCUUUCGUUAGUUGUCCCGGGCAAGUCCAAUGAACUGGAGAGUAGAUGUUGCAACUCUGCUUAGAUUUUAGGGCUCAAAUGGCA